Molecule: ribosomal RNA, 552 nt
Filed under: Fusarium oxysporum
Lineage: Eukaryota; Fungi; Ascomycota; Sordariomycetes; Hypocreales; Nectriaceae
Description: eukaryotic LSU rRNA
Rfam family: 5.8S ribosomal RNA (bases 196-349)
Source: RNAcentral
AAAGUCGUAACAAGGUCUCCGUUGGUGAACCAGCGGAGGGAUCAUUACCGAGUUUACAACUCCCAAACCCCUGUGAACAUACCACUUGUUGCCUCGGCGGAUCAGCCCGCUCCCGGUAAAACGGGACGGCCCGCCAGAGGACCCCUAAACUCUGUUUCUAUAUGUAACUUCUGAGUAAAACCAUAAAUAAAUCAAAACUUUCAACAACGGAUCUCUUGGUUCUGGCAUCGAUGAAGAACGCAGCAAAAUGCGAUAAGUAAUGUGAAUUGCAGAAUUCAGUGAAUCAUCGAAUCUUUGAACGCACAUUGCGCCCGCCAGUAUUCUGGCGGGCAUGCCUGUUCGAGCGUCAUUUCAACCCUCAAGCACAGCUUGGUGUUGGGACUCGCGUUAAUUCGCGUUCCUCAAAUUGAUUGGCGGUCACGUCGAGCUUCCAUAGCGUAGUAGUAAAACCCUCGUUACUGGUAAUCGUCGCGGCCACGCCGUUAAACCCCAACUUCUGAAUGUUGACCUCGGAUCAGGUAGGAAUACCCGCUGAACUUAAGCAUAUCAAUA